This 237-nucleotide unclassified non-coding RNA is filed under the name Hevea brasiliensis (rubber tree). Lineage: Eukaryota; Viridiplantae; Streptophyta; Magnoliopsida; Malpighiales; Euphorbiaceae. The record is from RNAcentral.
UUAUCCUCUGGAAAUGCCAAUCUGUCGAUGUACAAAUCAUCCAAUCAUAUUAUGUCAAUCACAACCAAAAUAUUCUAAAUGGCACAGAAUCAUUCAGUUAUCCACUUAUUCUAUACAAUCACAGAAAUUUCCUGGAAUUUGCACCUUUCAUCCUGUAAGCUAUAAGGUAUACCAUCAUCUUAGACAUUCAACUAAACAUGUAGCGAGAACAAUACAAGGAAAAUGAAAUUUAAAAAA